UCCCUGGUGGCUGAGAGGGUAAAGCGUCGGCCUGCAAUGCGGGAGACCUGGGUUCAAACCCCGGGUCGAGAA
RNAcentral lists this transfer RNA (72 nucleotides) under Ovis aries (sheep). It matches the Rfam family "tRNA". Rfam says of the family: Transfer RNA (tRNA) molecules are approximately 80 nucleotides in length. The record is from Rfam by way of RNAcentral. Lineage: Eukaryota; Metazoa; Chordata; Mammalia; Artiodactyla; Bovidae.